CACGGGGGGAGCAAGCGUUGUUCGGAAUCACUGGGCGUAAAGGGCGUGUAGGCGGUUCGGUAAGUGGAAUGUGAAAUCCCUCGGCUCACCCGAGGACCUGCAUCCCAAACUGCCGAGCUUGAGUAUGGGAGAGGAUGAGGGAAUUCCUGGUGUAGCGGUGAAAUGCGCAGAUAUCAGGAAGAACACCCGUGGCUAAGGCGGUUCUCUAGUACGGUACUGACGCUGAGACGCGAAAGCGUGGGGAGCGAACAGG
RNAcentral lists this ribosomal RNA (253 nucleotides) under uncultured bacterium. RNAcentral describes it as "partial 16S ribosomal RNA". It matches the Rfam family "Bacterial small subunit ribosomal RNA", at positions 524 to 776 of the family's 1533-position model. The record is from RNAcentral.